AGCUCCAAUAGCGUAUAUUAAAGUUGUUGCAGUUAAAAAGCUCGUAGUUGAAUUUCUGGUGGGGGAAUGCGGUCUGACCCUUAGGGUUAGCACUUGCACUCUCCGGCCAUCCUUGGGUGGAGCCAUUCUGGCAUUAAGUUGUCGGGGUGGGGAUGCCCAUCGUUUACUGUGAAAAAAUUAGAGUGUUCAAAGCAGACUUAUGUCGUUGAAUAUAUUAGCAUGGAAUAAUAAGAUAGGACAGCAGUGCUAUUUUGUUGGUUUGCGCACCGUUGUAAUGAUGAAUAGGGACAGUUGUGGGUAUUCGUAUUCACUUGUAAGAGGUGAAAUUCUUAGAUUAAGGGAAGACGAACUACUGCGAAAGCAUUUACCAAGGAUGUUUUCA
RNAcentral lists this ribosomal RNA (382 nucleotides) under uncultured marine Chaetocerotaceae. Its description in RNAcentral is "SSU rRNA". It matches the Rfam family "Eukaryotic small subunit ribosomal RNA", at positions 587 to 972 of the family's 1831-position model. Lineage: Eukaryota; Bacillariophyta; Thalassiosirophyceae; Chaetocerotales; Chaetocerotaceae. The record is from RNAcentral.